RNAcentral lists this ribosomal RNA (303 nucleotides) under uncultured bacterium. RNAcentral's name for it is "partial 16S ribosomal RNA". It matches the Rfam family "Bacterial small subunit ribosomal RNA", at positions 507 to 807 of the family's 1533-position model. The record is from RNAcentral.
AGCAGUCGCCACGGUAAAACGUAGGUGGCAAGCGUUGUCCGGAAUUAUUGGGCGUAAAGGGCUCGCAGGCGGUUUCUUAAGUCUGAUGUGAAAGCCCCCGGCUCAACCGGGGAGGGUCAUUGGAAACUGGGAAACUUGAGUGCAGAAGAGGAGAGUGGAAUUCCACGUGUAGCGGUGAAAUGCGUAGAGAUGUGGAGGAACACCAGUGGCGAAGGCGACUCUCUGGUCUGUAACUGACGCUGAGGAGCGAAAGCGUGGGGAGCGAACAGGAUUAGAUACCCGCGUAGUCCCUGUCUCUUAUAC